UUACCGAUAAUGACGUCAUUGCUGUAAUUCGAUCAGCUAUGGCAUUGUUCUUGGUGACA
Molecule: microRNA precursor, 59 nt
Filed under: Pristionchus pacificus
Lineage: Eukaryota; Metazoa; Nematoda; Chromadorea; Rhabditida; Neodiplogasteridae
Description: microRNA ppc-mir-8282b precursor
Source: miRBase by way of RNAcentral